This 1403-nucleotide long non-coding RNA is filed under the name Gallus gallus (chicken). RNAcentral describes it as "lncRNA (ENSGALG00010004925.1)". Lineage: Eukaryota; Metazoa; Chordata; Aves; Galliformes; Phasianidae. The record is from RNAcentral.
AGAUUUAAACGGUUUUCAAAUCCGGGAGGAGCCCUUUGAUCGCCGAUCUCAGCUGCCUCGGAGCCGUCCUGGACGGAUCAGCAGCGACCGACCGCGUGGUUCAAAGGGAUUCUGGACGGUUACUUCACUCAGGGAACCCCUGUGCCAACGAAGCAGCCCGGCAGCUCUCGUGAGAGCGGCUGAUGCAGUGCGUGGGCGUUGCCUGGGCAACGGCUUGCAUUCAUGCCUCGUGCCUUAAAAAAAAAGCCUCGAGCACCAGAGACAAAAAGGAGGGGUCCGGUCUGUGAACCACGUGGCUUCCUGUAUGGUGCUGUUGCACACCGUUCAUCUUUCUGUCAACUUUUCUUGGGAAGGAAGCAUAUAUGUGACAACAUUUAAUUUUCCACCACUUCUGCAAUGUUCUUCUAACUGAGAAGUAGGAGAUGUCAUUUACUAGCAGGUCCUGGCUCCAUACUGCUAACUGUUUAAAGUAGUGGUAGAUUGCCUUCAGUUCUUCGUGGAUGUGACUGUCUGGCAAGGAGUGCUUGUCUUACUGCUGCUCUCAGUUACUCAAAAGGAAGAUCUGGUAUCAACACUGAACACUAGCUUUGGGAAUCCUGCUGUCUCGGAUCAGUAUAGGGAUAUAAGAUUGUGACUUUCCGGAGAUCUGGUAACAUUACACUUCCAGUGCAUUACUAAAACAAAACACAAGAUCCCUGAAAACUGAAAUAUGGUCAAGAAGAAAAACUGUCAAUUAAUUUAAGUGUAAAAGGAAAAUGUCACGGUAAAGUGGAUUGGCAUGAAGACUGUGGAUUUGGGCAGUCCAGUCAAGGCAGACAAUCACAAAGGGGAAGCAGAGGCCAUGUGAAGUUGCAGGGUCAAACAGUCUCAGGAUAUGGUCUGCAUGUUAGCACUGAGUCAUCCCCGGGGAUCCAGAAGAAUUCAUUUGGAGAAGAAAGCAGAAGAAGCUGCCCUGAGCCACCGCAAGUGAUCAAUCACAAUUACACUAGCAAGGAUGAACACUUAAGAGCCUGGUGCAAACCCCUGUGCUGCUGAAUGCUUCGACGAUGGUAUGCAAGAAAACAGGAAGUUUCAGGAGUCAGUCCUCCUGAGAUGGAGCCCCCAGCACAAGAAAUAAGUGGCCCUGUUGGAGAGAGUCUGGAGGAGGCCAUGAGGAUGCUCAGAAAGCUUAAGCACCUCUUCUUUGAAGGCUGAGGGAGCUGGACUUGUUCAGCUUAUUCCUGCUUGGACAAAUGUUCCUUGUCAACUUCUUGAAAAAUAUGUGGACCAUACUGCAGGCUCUCUGUUGUCACAGCUAGCUGGUGGUGGUGUUCAGUCUAUCAUUUAAAGCCCGCUACCUGUUGGUCUGAUUCCCCAUACCAGGCAAGUGCUUGCUUCAUUUUGAAAAGAAAAAACAAAAUACC